This 457-nucleotide ribosomal RNA is filed under the name uncultured bacterium. Its description in RNAcentral is "partial 16S ribosomal RNA". It matches the Rfam family "Bacterial small subunit ribosomal RNA", at positions 32 to 507 of the family's 1533-position model. The record is from RNAcentral.
GAUAACGCUGGCGGCGUGCAUGAGACAUGCAAGUCGAACGAAGGAUCGGGCUUGCUCGAUCCUUAGUGGCGGACGGCUGAGUAACGCGUAGGUGACCUACCCCGAAGUGGGGAAUAACUGCCCGAAAGGGUGGCUAAUACCGCAUGUGGUCGCACGUUCAUUCGUGCGAGUAAAGCCGCAAGGCGCUUCGGGCGGGGCCUGCGUCCGAUUAGCUCGUUGGUGGGGUAAUGGCUUACCAAGGCGACGAUCGGUAGGUGGUCUGAGAGGACGAUCACCCAGACUGGGACUGAGACACGGCCCAGACUCCUACGGGAGGCAGCAGCCGGGAAUUUUGCUCAAUGGGGGAAACCCUGAAGCAGCAACGCCGCGUGAGGGAUGAAGGCCUUCGGGUUGUAAACCUCUUUUGUCAGGGACGAUGAUGACGGUACCUGGCGAAUAAGCCACGGCUAACUACGUG